Molecule: non-coding RNA, 513 nt
Organism: Salmo salar (Atlantic salmon)
Lineage: Eukaryota; Metazoa; Chordata; Actinopteri; Salmoniformes; Salmonidae
Source: RefSeq, a predicted model, not a curated record
UCACCCAGCAUUUCCCCACCUCCUUAGACUGAGAAGAAUUGGCAAUUGAUUUCCCCCAUCACUACCGGCCAAUCUUCUCUGUUUGGUUCCAAUUGCUCUGUGUCUCGAAAAUAAGUGUGAGGAAAAUAAGGAGCGCUUCACGGAUUUGCGUGUCAUCCUUUCGCUAUUUGAAGGGCAUUCUUCUCUGUUCCAAAUGUUCUUAAUUUUUCCAAAUGUCUCCUCCAGUCAGAGCUUCAGCUUGUUUUAAAUAUGAGAAAGAGAGCAAAAUCCACCAAUGGAAGCCUAGCUUGUUCCAAAUGUUUUUACCCAAUCAUCGUCCUACAAAGUUCUAGUAACGUCAACACAUCACAAAAAUCUUCAUCUGGCAGCCAUUGAUUGAUCAUACCGAGUAUCUGAGGAGACCUAUCAAGCAAACAUGGAAACUCCAAAGUUCCGGUUCACGCCCUCACAGGAGUUGGUCCUCAAGGCCACACCUCAGGCAGUGAAGGUGGCCGCUGACGGCCCCCCUGCUUC